RNAcentral lists this long non-coding RNA (204 nucleotides) under Numida meleagris (helmeted guineafowl). RNAcentral's name for it is "lncRNA (ENSNMEG00000012029.1)". The record is from RNAcentral. Lineage: Eukaryota; Metazoa; Chordata; Aves; Galliformes; Numididae.
GAGCGCUCAGCAUUUUGAAAAAACAGGAUUCUUACCGUAGGGCCUACAUGCAGUGGUCUGUAAGAAUUGAAGUUGAGCUGGGAGUAUUACCAUACUCUGCACUCUCGACCUCAGCAGCCUCUGGAAGGAAAGCCGGUGUUAAUUCUGGUCUUCCUGGCUACAGGCUAGUUUGAUGGAUAACAGCAUUCAUGUCUGACUGGUUCG